This is a non-coding RNA of Misgurnus anguillicaudatus (oriental weatherfish), 1740 nucleotides long. The record is from RefSeq and is a predicted model, not a curated record. Lineage: Eukaryota; Metazoa; Chordata; Actinopteri; Cypriniformes; Cobitidae.
UAUACUAAUAUGUAUUAUGUUGUACUCUCUGAAUAUAAUGAUGUAGAUUGCAAUGCAUCUUGGAAUCAGUAGUCAGUUAACAGCAACAGCGUUCAAUCCGCUUUAUGAAAAGAACUACCUUUCCCAUAAUGCAACAGCUUACAAGAGGACCCGGAAGUCACAUGAAAUUCAAACUGCCACACUUGACGACGCGUGAUCUUUGUUUUGUCUUUAUAUAAUACUGUAAGGUAAGUUAAGAUACUUUUCUUUUUAAAUAGAUUUCACUCGUUGUUCUACAGCGAGUUACAUAAAUGUUUUUUCUGUUUAUUUGCUAUUCUUUUCUGUGAUGUUUUUUAUUUCUAUGUUAGGCUAUAUAUUCUUAUUUGCCAUUUAAAGUAUAAUGAUAAACAUGCAGGCUUACAGUGAGCUAAACAAUUUUCAUAAAGAGGAUGUUAAAAAAAUCUUUAAGAUGUUCGAUCUUUACAAAAUAAAUUAAUGCUCAGCCCACAGAGAAGCCAACCAAAGAUCAAAUGAUUUGUGUACAAAACAAAAAAUCGACACUUUUUGGAAAUACUUUUGUAAAGGAAUUAAAUACCUAAGAAUCAUAAAUUAGCGUUUGUCUUACAAAAAAAAUGUAAUCAUUAUUGUGCUUUGUUUGCAGAAGUCAUGUACCACACAUUGUCAAACCUGAAGAAGUGUAUCUUCCUGCAAUCUGGGCUCCAGACCUGGAGAUUGAAGUUCCUAAAGGUUGAUGUUUAUCAAGCUUGUGACCUUAUCGCAUGGUGUUAUUUUUUUACAUUUAUAUAUCUAAUACACAUUUGCACAUCUGUAAACAUAAAUUUAAUAUUUUGUGGGCUAUUUUUUAUUUUAUUUAACCAGUUGUUGUAUAUUGAAAUCUGUUACAUUUUAUGCACUCCAAAUGUAAAUGUUUUGUUUUAAUUGCAUCUUUAUUGUUUAAAACAAUUUAAUUAAUGUGGGUUUUUGUUAGCUUUUAUGUUAUUCUUGUAUUUUUUGGCUAUUUAUUUGUUUUUGUUUUUUAUUAUCCUUCUGUUAAUUUGCCAGAUUUUGACCUUCUAUUUGUUUUUCUUGUAAUCUCACUUCAAUUAUUUUCUGUGUUUCUCAAUGAUGCAUUUUUGUCACAGUCCCAAUUUGUUCCUGCUUGUUUCUCCACUGUCAGGUGAGGAUAAUAACAAACACAGUGGGACCGUUCAUCAUCCAUUUGGACUUCAUUUCCCAUAAUCCUUUUCACUCUCUCACCUGAACUGUGUUUGUUAUUAUCCUCACCUGACAGUCAUCCCCCUCAUCACUCCAUUGUCUAAAUACCCUGCUUUUCCCUUUGUCUAGGUCAGUUCUUGUUUAUAGUGAUGUGUUGUGUGUUUUGCUGUUUACCAGUUUCCAUGUUCCUUGUUUUAUAUUAAUUAAAGAUUAUCAUUUUGGAUUCAUCAUGAUCUCCAUCUCCUCCUUUAUCCUCCACCACACCAACCGUAUCAAUUUCACAGUAUAAUUAUAUAUUGUUUGAGUUAUGGCUAUGUUCUGGGGUUUCUGGAUAAGUUGUGGGUGAGUCUCAAAUGUUCUGGGAACUUUACUAGGCAAUGUCCUUAACACCAGCGGGGUCGUUCUAGGAACAUAAAAUUUCUACAUAAAAUAUGGUUCCCUUAACAUUUCCAGAACGUCCUGAAUGUUCCGUGAAGGUCUGCCAAAUAACGUCCUUCAACCUUUUAAAGAACUCCACAUCACGUCAGUCUUGGAACGUUCUGGGAA